ACUUUCCAUCCCUUGCACUGU
Molecule: microRNA, 21 nt
Filed under: Monodelphis domestica (gray short-tailed opossum)
Lineage: Eukaryota; Metazoa; Chordata; Mammalia; Didelphimorphia; Didelphidae
Description: mdo-miR-1545a-3p
Source: miRBase by way of RNAcentral